AGUGAACGCUGGCGGUAGGCCUAACACAUGCAAGUCGAACGGCAGCACAGUAAGAGUUUGCUCUUACGGGUGGCGAGUGGCGGACGGGUGAGGAAUACAUCGGAAUCUACUUUUUCGUGGGGGAUAACGUAGGGAAACUUACGCUACUACCGCAUACGACCUACGGGUGAAAGCAGUAGAUAUUCGCACCUUGCGCGAUUGAAUGAGCCGAUGUCGGAUUAGCUAGUUGGCGGGGUAAAGGCCCACCAAGGCGACGAUCCGUAGCUGGCCUGAGAGGAUGAUCGGCCACACUGGAACUGAGACACGGUCCAGACUCCUACGGGAGGCAGCAGUGGGGAAUAUUGGACAAUGGGCGAAAGCCUGAUGCAGCAAUGCCGCGUGGGUGAAGAAGGCCUUCGGGUUGUAAAGCCCUUUUGUUGGGAAAGAAAAGCAGCAGGUUAAUACCCCGCUGUUCUGACGGUACCCAAAGAAUAAGCACCGGCUAACUUCGUG
This 492-nucleotide ribosomal RNA is filed under the name uncultured bacterium. RNAcentral's name for it is "partial 16S ribosomal RNA". It matches the Rfam family "Bacterial small subunit ribosomal RNA", at positions 29 to 507 of the family's 1533-position model. The record is from RNAcentral.